CGGUCCUAAGGUAGCGAAAUUCCUUGUCGGGUAAGUUCCGACCCGCACGAAUGGUGUAACGAAUUGGGCGCUGUCUCAACGUGAAGCCCGGUGAAAUUGAAGUAUCGGUGAAGAUGCCGAUUACCCGUGGUUAGACGGAAAGACCCCGUGAACCUUUACUGCAGCUUGGCAUUGAAAUCUGGGCUAACAUGUGUAGGAUAGGUGGGAGACAAUGAAACAUGGUCGCUAGAUUGUGUGGAGUCGUUGGUGAAAUACCACCCUUGUUAGUUUAGGUUUCUAACGUGAUCCAUGAAUCUGGGUUAUGGACAAUGUCAGGUGGGCGGUUUGACUGGGGCGGUCGCCUCCUAAAGAGUAACGGAGGCGCGCGAAGGUCACCUUAGACUGGUUGGAAAUCAGUCGUCAAGUGCAAAGGCAAAAGGUGGCUUGACUGCGAGACAUACAAGUCGAGCAGGUACGAAAGUAGGUCUUAGUGAUCUGGCGGUAGCGCGUGGAAGCGCCGUCACUUAACGGACAAAAGGUACUCCGGGGAUAACAGGCUUAUCCUGCCCAAGAGUUCAUAUCGACGGCAGGGUUUGGCACCUCGAUGUCGGCUCAUCGCAUCCUGGGGCUGAAGCAGGUCCCAAGGGUUUGGCUGUUCGCCAAUUAAAGCGGUACGUGAGCUGGGUUCAGAACGUCGCGAGACAGUUCGGUCCCUAUCUGCCACGGGCGAUGGAUGUUUGAGAGGAGCUGUUUUUAGUACGAGAGGACCGAAAUGGACGAACCUCUAGUGUACCAGUUAUCGUGCCAACGGUAAGUGCUGGGUAGCUACGUUCGGAAGGGAUAACCGCUGAAAGCAUCUAAGUGGGAAGCCCACCUCAAGAUGAGACAUCCCAGGGGAUUUUAAUCCCCCUGAAGACUCCAGAGAGAAUAUCUGGUUGAUAGGCUGGAAGUGUACGCACAGUAAUGUGUUGAGCUGACCAGUACUAAUUAGUCGUGAGGCUUGACCAU
Molecule: ribosomal RNA, 987 nt
Filed under: uncultured bacterium
Lineage: Bacteria
Description: bacterial LSU rRNA
Rfam family: Bacterial large subunit ribosomal RNA
Source: RNAcentral